This 497-nucleotide ribosomal RNA is filed under the name uncultured bacterium. RNAcentral's name for it is "partial 16S ribosomal RNA". It matches the Rfam family "Bacterial small subunit ribosomal RNA", at positions 28 to 507 of the family's 1533-position model. The record is from RNAcentral.
GAUGAACGCUGGCGGCGUGCCUAAUACAUGCAAGUAGAACGCUGAAGCUUGGUGCUUGCACCGAGCGGAUGAGUUGCGAACGGGUGAGUAACGCGUAGGUAACAUGCCUCUUAGCGGGGGAUAACUAUUGGAAACGAUAGCUAAUACCGCAUAAAAGUCGAUAUCGCAUGAUAUUGAUUUGAAAGGUGCAAAUGCAUCACUAAGAGAUGGACCUGCGUUGUAUUAGCUAGUUGGUGAGGUAACGGCUCACCAAGGCGACGAUACAUAGCCGACCUGAGAGGGUGAUCGGCCACACUGGGACUGAGACACGGCCCAGACUCCUACGGGAGGCAGCAGUAGGGAAUCUUCGGCAAUGGGGGCAACCCUGACCGAGCAACGCCGCGUGAGUGAAGAAGGUUUUCGGAUCGUAAAGCUCUGUUGUAAGAGAAGAACGAGUGUGAGAGUGGAAAGUUCACACUGUGACGGUAACUUACCAGAAAGGGACGGCUAACUACGUG